UACGAAGGGGGCUAGCGUUGCUCGGAAUCACUGGGCGUAAAGGGUGCGUAGGCGGGGCUUUAAGUCAGGGGUGAAAUCCUGGAGCUCAACUCCAGAACUGCCUUUGAUACUGAAGAUCUUGAGUUCGGGAGAGGUGAGUGGAACUGCGAGUGUAGAGGUGAAAUUCGUAGAUAUUCGGAAGAACACCAGUGGCGAAGGCGACUUACUGGACACAUAUUGACGCUGAGGUGCGAAAGCGUGGGGAGCAAACAGG
This 253-nucleotide ribosomal RNA is filed under the name uncultured bacterium. RNAcentral's name for it is "partial 16S ribosomal RNA". It matches the Rfam family "Bacterial small subunit ribosomal RNA", at positions 524 to 776 of the family's 1533-position model. The record is from RNAcentral.